AUGAUUGCAUUCUCUUACUCUCUUUUGCCUGUGUUUUCCAUGGGCAGUGAGGCGAUAGGCGGUGGACAAGAAACUAAACAGAAACAAGUGGGCAUGCCCUCUCAUGCUUCUACUCGGUUGAACAAUGCAACACCCACUGUGGCUGGCAUCACGUCAACACGCUCGUCUCCUCGUAUAGCAUCAUCCAACAAUGGGGAUCAUGUUGUGCUGGAAGACUUGACAAAAACAACCAAGAGGUAUGUUUCUUCUUUCCAUUAUGUGGUGGCACCUAACUCAAACGGUGGAGCAAGUGGCAAUCAUUUUCCCAAAAUUCACAUGGCAGUUCUAGUAUGUUGA
RNAcentral lists this ribosomal RNA (336 nucleotides) under Triticum aestivum (bread wheat). RNAcentral's name for it is "partial small subunit ribosomal RNA". Lineage: Eukaryota; Viridiplantae; Streptophyta; Magnoliopsida; Poales; Poaceae. The record is from RNAcentral.